Molecule: non-coding RNA, 451 nt
Organism: Grammomys surdaster
Lineage: Eukaryota; Metazoa; Chordata; Mammalia; Rodentia; Muridae
Source: the annotation of a RefSeq genome assembly
CCUCACUAGAGCCUCCAUCAGAGCAUGGCUGUCCUGGUGCUGCUCCUCUGUCUGGUGACAUUUCCAGGCUGUGCCCUGUCUCAAGAGCAGCUGAAGGAGUCAGGACCUGACCUGGUGCAGCCCUCACAGACCCUGUCUCUCACCUGCACUGUCUCUGGGUUCUCAUUAAGCAGCUAUGGUGUACAUUGGUUUCGCAAGCCUCCAAGAAAGGGCCUGGAGUGGUUAGGAGGAGUAUGGUCUGGUGGAGGCAUAUACUAUAGUUCAGUUCUCAGUUCCAGACUCAGCAUCACCAGGGACACCUACAAUAGCCAAGUUUUCUUUAAAAUGAGCAGUGUGCAAAGUGAAGACACGGCCAUGUACUACUGUGCCAGAUACACAGUGAAAAAAGUCCAGUAGGACUUGAACAAAAACUUUCCUACAGGAAUGUCAUGACCAGCAGGGGGCGCUGAGG